Molecule: long non-coding RNA, 591 nt
Organism: Mauremys reevesii (Reeves's turtle)
Lineage: Eukaryota; Metazoa; Chordata; Testudines; Geoemydidae
Exons: 3
Source: RefSeq, a predicted model, not a curated record
GAGAAGGAUAUGGUCCAGAUAAUUUAAGAGGAGGUAAAUUGGCAGUGGAGAAAGACAUUAAUCCAUUACAAAGGACAAGAGUUCAAGAAGGUUGCCUGAAAAACAUGUCUGCCUACAUCCAGAUUGAUUUAUCCAGAAGGAAGCAUCUUGAGAAGACGAGACUUCAGUGUGCAGUUCAAGGGCAGGAGAGUACUUUGCUGCUGGCCUAUAUGAACACCCGCCGCUGCACCAGCCAACAAGGGAGUGAAUCCAAAGCGCUAUUUCCUGUAUAUUUCCACCCACUUGUUCAAGGAGGGGAGGAAGUGUACAUGAUGGACCCCUUGAUGGCCUGGAACCAAGGUUCUCAGACUGCAUGCCCAAGCAGGGGAUUGUAAGUUCCAAUUUAGCCCAAUAAUAAGAAAAAAUCCACCCCUCAUUAGUAAGAAUAACAAUGACAGGAGUACUGCAGACUGUGACACACUCAGUGCAACUCAGGUAUCAUUUUCGCCAGUGUAUGUUUGUGAAAUUAUUUAAAACUUCUGUAGACUUAAUAAAAAGAAGGUUAGCUAUUGGUUUCCCAAAUCCCCUUGGUUGCCUUCCCAUCAACAGACA